This 253-nucleotide ribosomal RNA is filed under the name uncultured bacterium. Its description in RNAcentral is "partial 16S ribosomal RNA". It matches the Rfam family "Bacterial small subunit ribosomal RNA", at positions 524 to 776 of the family's 1533-position model. The record is from RNAcentral.
UACGAAGGUCCCAAGCGUUAUCCGGAUUUAUUGGGCGUAAAGGGUGCGUAGGCGGCGCGGUAAGUCGGGUGUGAAAUCUUGGAGCUUAACUCCGAAACUGCAUUCGAUACUGCCGUGCUUGAGGACUGGAGAGGAGACUGGAAUUUACGGUGUAGCGGUGAAAUGCGUAGAUAUCGUAAGGAAGACCAGUGGCGAAGGCGGGUCUCUGGACAGUUCCUGACGCUGAGGCACGAAGGUCAGGGGAGCAAACGGG